This 346-nucleotide ribosomal RNA is filed under the name uncultured eukaryote. RNAcentral's name for it is "SSU rRNA". It matches the Rfam family "Eukaryotic small subunit ribosomal RNA", at positions 594 to 945 of the family's 1831-position model. The record is from RNAcentral.
AUAGCGUAUAUUAAAGUUGUUGCAGUUAAAAAGCUCGUAGUCGAAAUUCAGACCCGGCCGGGCGGUCCGCCUCACGGUGUGUACUGUCUGGCUGGGCCUUACCUCUUGGUGAGCCGGCAUGCCCUUCACUGGGUGUGUCGGGGAACCAGGACUUUUACUUUGAGAAAAUUAGAGUGUUCAAAGCAGGCCUACGCCCGAAUACAUUAGCAUGGAAUAAUAGAAUAGGACGUGCGGUUCUAUUUUGUUGGUUUCUAGAGUCGCCGUAAUGAUUAAUAGGGAUAGUUGGGGGCAUUGGUAUUGAGUCGCUAGAGGUGAAAUUCUUGGAUUGACUCAAGACCAACUAUUG